GACGAACGCUGGCGGCGUGCUUACCACAUGCAAGUCGAACGGAAAGGCCCUGCUUUUGUGGGGUGCUCGAGUGGCGAACGGGUGAGUAACACGUGAGUAACCUGCCCUUGACUUUGGGAUAACUUCAGGAAACUGGGGCUAAUACCGGAUAGGAGCUCCUGCUGCAUGGUGGGGGUUGGAAAGUUUCGGCGGUUGGGGAUGGACUCGCGGCUUAUCAGCUUGUUGGUGGGGUAGUGGCUUACCAAGGCUUUGACGGGUAGCCGGCCUGAGAGGGUGACCGGCCACAUUGGGACUGAGAUACGGCCCAGACUCCUACGGGAGGCAGCAGUGGGGAAUAUUGCACAAUGGGCGGAAGCCUGAUGCAGCAACGCCGCGUGCGGGAUGACGGCCUUCGGGUUGUAAACCGCUUUCGCCUGUGACGAAGCGUGAGUGACGGUAAUGGGUAAAGAAGCACCGGCUAACUACGUGCCAGCAGCCGCGGUGAUACGUAGGGUGCGAGCGUUGUCCGGAUUUAUUGGGCGUAAAGGGCUCGUAGGUGGUUGAUCGCGUCGGAAGUGUAAUCUUGGGGCUUAACCCUGAGCGUGCUUUCGAUACGGGUUGACUUGAGGAAGGUAGGGGAGAAUGGAAUUCCUGGUGGAGCGGUGGAAUGCGCAGAUAUCAGGAGGAACACCAGUGGCGAAGGCGGUUCUCUGGGCCUUUCCUGACGCUGAGGAGCGAAAGCGUGGGGAGCGAACAGGCUUAGAUACCCUGGUAGUCCACGCUGUAAACGGUGGGUACUAGGUGUGGGGUCCAUUCCACGGGUUCCGUGCCGUAGCUAACGCUUUAAGUACCCCGCCUGGGGAGUACGGCCGCAAGGCUAAAACUCAAAGGAAUUGACGGGGCCCCGCACAAGCGGCGGAGCAUGCGGAUUAAUUCGAUGCAACGCGUAGAACCUUACCUGGGUUUGACAUGGAUCGGGAGUGCUCAGAGAUGGGUGUGCCUCUUUUGGGGUCGGUUCACAGGUGGUGCAUGGCUGUCGUCAGCUCGUGUCGUGAGAUGUUGGGUUAAGUCCCGCAACGAGCGCAACCCUUGUUCACUGUUGCCAGCACGUUAUGGUGGGGACUCAGUGGAGACCGCCGGGGUCAACUCGGAGGAAGGUGGGGAUGACGUCAAGUCAUCAUGCCCCUUAUGUCCAGGGCUUCACGCAUGCUACAAUGGCUGGUACAGAGAGUGGCGAGCCUGUGAGGGUGAGCGAAUCUCGGAAAGCCGGUCUCAGUUCGGAUUGGGGUCUGCAACUCGACCUCAUGAAGUCGGGGUCGCUAGUAAUCGCAGAUCAGCAACGCUGCGGUGAAUACGUUCCCGGGGCU
RNAcentral lists this ribosomal RNA (1346 nucleotides) under uncultured bacterium. RNAcentral's name for it is "partial 16S ribosomal RNA". It matches the Rfam family "Bacterial small subunit ribosomal RNA", at positions 28 to 1381 of the family's 1533-position model. The record is from RNAcentral.